RNAcentral lists this unclassified non-coding RNA (303 nucleotides) under Hevea brasiliensis (rubber tree). The record is from RNAcentral. Lineage: Eukaryota; Viridiplantae; Streptophyta; Magnoliopsida; Malpighiales; Euphorbiaceae.
GAGGAGGGGAAGGGGUGAAUAAAAAGAAUGUAAAUCAUUUCAUUUAGAAGGAUAAUACAAAUCCCAAAGUGGUCUUUAUUUCACCAAACAAUACUAAAACAGAGGUUAUGGAUGGAACCCUUUUCAGUUGAAAAUUGCAAGCAUGCAUGUUUUGAAAGUCCUUUUCAUUUACUUCCAGUGCAGAAAAUGUGGUGAAUGAAGUUUCCUUUUUAAUGAUGCUAUACAAUGAUGGGUGUUAUUACUUUGAUCCUCAAGGGAAUGAUAAAGUAGCCGGAGUUUCUCAGUUCUUUUGGUCAAGUAACU